This 1399-nucleotide ribosomal RNA is filed under the name uncultured bacterium. RNAcentral's name for it is "bacterial SSU rRNA". It matches the Rfam family "Bacterial small subunit ribosomal RNA". The record is from RNAcentral.
AGAGUUUGAUCCUGGCUCAGAUUGAACGCUGGCGGCAGGCCUAACACAUGCAAGUCGAGCGGUAGCACAGAGAGCUUGCUCUCGGGUGACGAGCGGCGGACGGGUGAGUAAUGUCUGGGAAACUGCCUGAUGGAGGGGGAUAACUACUGGAAACGGUAGCUAAUACCGCAUAACGUCGCAAGACCAAAGUGGGGGACCUUCGGGCCUCAUGCCAUCAGAUGUGCCCAGAUGGGAUUAGCUAGUAGGUGGGGUAACGGCUCACCUAGGCGACGAUCCCUAGCUGGUCUGAGAGGAUGACCAGCCACACUGGAACUGAGACACGGUCCAGACUCCUACGGGAGGCAGCAGUGGGGAAUAUUGCACAAUGGGCGCAAGCCUGAUGCAGCCAUGCCGCGUGUGUGAAGAAGGCCUUCGGGUUGUAAAGCACUUUCAGCGGGGAGGAAGGCGUUAAGGUUAAUAACCUUGGCGAUUGACGUUACCCGCAGAAGAAGCACCGGCUAACUCCGUGCCAGCAGCCGCGGUAAUACGGAGGGUGCAAGCGUUAAUCGGAAUUACUGGGCGUAAAGCGCACGCAGGCGGUCUGUCAAGUCGGAUGUGAAAUCCCCGGGCUCAACCUGGGAACUGCAUUCGAAACUGGCAGGCUAGAGUCUUGUAGAGGGGGGUAGAAUUCCAGGUGUAGCGGUGAAAUGCGUAGAGAUCUGGAGGAAUACCGGUGGCGAAAGGCGGCCCCCUGGACAAAGACUGACGCUCAGGUGCGAAAGCGUGGGGAGCAAACAGGAUUAGAUACCCUGGUAGUCCACGCCGUAACGAUGUCGAUUUGGAGGUUGUGCCCUUUGAGGCGUGGCUUCCGGAGCUAACGCGUUAAAUCGACCGCCUGGGGAGUACGGCCGCAAGGUUAAAACUCAAAUGAAUUGACGGGGGCCCGCACAAGCGGUGGAGCAUGUGGUUUAAUUCGAUGCAACGCGAAGAACCUUACCUGGUCUUGACAUCCACAGAACUUUCCAGAGAUGGAUUGGUGCCUUCGGGAACUGUGAGACAGGUGCUGCAUGGCUGUCGUCAGCUCGUGUUGUGAAAUGUUGGGUUAAGUCCCGCAACGAGCGCAACCCUUAUCCUUUGUUGCCAGCGGUCCGGCCGGGAACUCAAAGGAGACUGCCAGUGAUAAACUGGAGGAAGGUGGGGAUGACGUCAAGUCACCAUGGCCCUUACGACCAGGGCUACACACGUGCUACAAUGGCAUAUACAAAGAGAAGCGACCUCGCGAGAGCAAGCGGACCUCAUAAAGUAUGUCGUAGUCCGGAUUGGAGUCUGCAACUCGACUCCAUGAAGUCGGAAUCGCUAGUAAUCGUAGAUCAGAAUGCUACGGUGAAUACGUUCCCGGGCCUUGCACACACCGCCCGUC